Molecule: long non-coding RNA, 798 nt
Filed under: Homo sapiens (human)
Lineage: Eukaryota; Metazoa; Chordata; Mammalia; Primates; Hominidae
Description: HSALNT0372930
Source: RNAcentral
GUAGAGACACAGUUUCACCAUGUUUUCCAGACUGGUCUCCAACUCCUGACCUCAAGUGAUCCGCCUGCCUCGGCCUCCCAAAGUGCUGGGAUUACAGGCAUGAGCCACCGCUCCAGGCCAGAAAUACACAUUUCUAAUAGCUUAUCAGGUACGCAUUUUUCUCCUGUAAAGAGUAGUGUUCAUGGACACUGACCAAUACAUGCAGGGUCACCCCAGACUGCUAAUUCUGCUGUCUGGUGUAGCACCAAGUCCACAUCCUUCGACCUCGGUAUUUCUACAAUCAUCGUCUUAGAAGCAGAAGUCUUCAAUUUUGCAUUUCAUGCUAAAUUUCAAUUCCUUUGAACUCAGGCCCGCCUAUGAGCUGCUUCUCUCUCCACUCAUGAUACCACAGCUGUGAAAUAUAACUGAAAUAAAGUGAAAAUUAAAAUGGAUUUAUUUGGGUACCGUGUGUUCUUUAGUGGGGGUCCCUUUAACUGAUUUAUCUACCUUCACUCAAUUGACAAUCUUCUUAGAAGACAUUUGUUGUGAUAUUGGAGCUUUUUUAUUAGGUUGAAAGCUUACUUAAAUUUCUCACUUGAAAGGAAGCUCUAAAACUUGCAAAAGAAGCAGAAAAACUCUGAUACCGAAAAUGGACCCUUGACAGCCAACCUAUAGAAUGGGUAUGAGUCAGAAUUUUCCAAAACAAUUUUAAAGCUUCAUUUUCCUUAGAAAGUUGCUUUUAGGGUUUUGUUGGGCUCAGAAACUAAUACCGGAAAAUAUGGCACUUUGACAUGCUGGACUGAAGAAGCAGCCUCAAAG